This 1116-nucleotide ribosomal RNA is filed under the name Vibrio sp. Its description in RNAcentral is "bacterial SSU rRNA". It matches the Rfam family "Bacterial small subunit ribosomal RNA", at positions 94 to 1219 of the family's 1533-position model. Lineage: Bacteria; Pseudomonadati; Pseudomonadota; Gammaproteobacteria; Vibrionales; Vibrionaceae. The record is from RNAcentral.
AGCGGCGGACGGGUGAGUAAUGCCUAGGAAAUUGCCCUGAUGUGGGGGAUAACCAUUGGAAACGAUGGCUAAUACCGCAAAUGCCUACGGGCCAAAGAGGGGGACCUUCGGGCCUCUCGCGUCAGGAUAUGCCUAGGUGGGAUUAGCUAGUUGGUGAGGUAAGGGCUCACCAAGGCGACGAUCCCUAGCUGGUCUGAGAGGAUGAUCAGCCACACUGGAACUGAGACACGGUCCAGACUCCUACGGGAGGCAGCAGUGGGGAAUAUUGCACAAUGGGCGCAAGCCUGAUGCAGCCAUGCCGCGUGUGUGAAGAAGGCCUUCGGGUUGUAAAGCACUUUCAGUCGUGAGGAAGGUAGUGUAGUUAAUAGCUGCAUUAUUUGACGUUAGCGACAGAAGAAGCACCGGCUAACUCCGUGCCAGCAGCCGCGGUAAUACGGAGGGUGCGAGCGUUAAUCGGAAUUACUGGGCGUAAAGCGCAUGCAGGUGGUUUGUUAAGUCAGAUGUGAAAGCCCGGGGCUCAACCUCGGAAUUGCAUUUGAAACUGGCAGACUAGAGUACUGUAGAGGGGGGUAGAAUUUCAGGUGUAGCGGUGAAAUGCGUAGAGAUCUGAAGGAAUACCGGUGGCGAAGGCGGCCCCCUGGACAGAUACUGACACUCAGAUGCGAAAGCGUGGGGAGCAAACAGGAUUAGAUACCCUGGUAGUCCACGCCGUAAACGAUGUCUACUUGGAGGUUGUGGCCUUGAGCCGUGGCUUUCGGAGCUAACGCGUUAAGUAGACCGCCGGGGGAGUACGGUCGCAAGAUUAAAACUCAAAUGAAUUGACGGGGGCCCGCACAAGCGGUGGAGCAUGUGGUUUAAUUCGAUGCAACGCGAAGAACCUUACCUACUCUUGACAUCCAGAGAACUUUCCAGAGAUGGAUUGGUGCCUUCGGGACUCUGAGACAGUGCUGCAUGGCUGUCGUCAGCUCGGGUUGUGAAAUGUUGGGUUAAUCCCGCAACGAGGGCAACCCUUUUCUUGUUUGCCACCAAUAAUGUCGGGAAUCCCGGGGACUGCCGUGAUAACCGGAGGAAGGUGGGGACAACUCCAGUCUCAGGGCCCUUCCAAUAGGGUUCCCC